Leptinotarsa decemlineata (Colorado potato beetle) is the source of this 505-nucleotide long non-coding RNA. The record is from RefSeq and is a predicted model, not a curated record. NCBI's taxonomy places the organism in Eukaryota, Metazoa, Arthropoda, Insecta, Coleoptera, Chrysomelidae.
GACGAAGGCGUAUCGUCCUCACUUAGAAGAAUUUUCAUCAGGAAAAUACGCUAUUGUGUUCAAAGGGUUGAUGGACAUUGGGAAACCGAAUCUUGUCGUUUCAUUUGAAAUUGUACAAAAUUAAGAAUAAUACAUCAACGUGUGCAGUAUCAGUCAGAGUCAUCUCAACAACAACAUUCAAAACCGUCAUAGCAACCUUUCCAGAACGAGUUUAAAUCUCAGCAGUUUCCAUUUUUGUCAGUCUAUAGUUGCACAUUAUGAGGCUAGAAUUUGUCGAUAUUCAGUGAUUUGUUGGACAAACUGCUCUAUUCAAUAUAUAUACACAACCGUAGUGAAUUUGGAAGACUUUGAAGAUUCAUCGUGGUGUGUUCCAAAAUUCAAGAAAAACACGCCGUUCUGUAUGGGUCAUUCCAAAGGAAAUUUGUUCAGCUGCAGUCUCAAUAACGUUGAUAUUUUAUAUAAAUGGCUUUAUAAUAUACUACCAAAAUAAAUAAAAUACAUAUCA